GACGAACGCUGGCGGCGUGCUUAAUACAUGCAAGUCAACUGAACUUUAGGUAGCAAUAUUUAAAGGGAGGUGGCGCACGGGUGAGUAACACGUAGGUAAUCUGCCUUCAGGACUGACAUAAUUCCGCGAAAGCGGGACUAAAAUCAGAUGAUGCAGCGGCUCGACAUCGAGACAGUUGUUAAACCUUCGGGGCCUGAAGAUGAGCCUGCGUCUGAUUAGGUAGUUGGCGGGGUAAAAGCCCACCAAGCCUGCGAUCAGUAGCUGGUCUGAGAGGAUGAUCAGCCACACUGGAACUGAGACACGGUCCAGACUCCUACGGGAGGCAGCAGUAAGGAAUAUUGCUCAAUGGCCGAAAAGGCUGAAGCAGCAACGCCGCGUGGAGGGAUGAAAUACUUUAGUAUGUAAACUCCUGUAAGAGGGGAAAAUAUACAGCUAUGCUGUGUUGAUUGUACCCUCAGAGUAAGCACCGGCUAACUACGUGCCAG
This 485-nucleotide ribosomal RNA is filed under the name uncultured bacterium. Its description in RNAcentral is "bacterial SSU rRNA". It matches the Rfam family "Bacterial small subunit ribosomal RNA", at positions 28 to 511 of the family's 1533-position model. The record is from RNAcentral.